RNAcentral lists this ribosomal RNA (719 nucleotides) under Clostridioides difficile. RNAcentral's name for it is "partial 23S ribosomal RNA". It matches the Rfam family "Bacterial large subunit ribosomal RNA", at positions 189 to 912 of the family's 2925-position model. The record is from RNAcentral. Lineage: Bacteria; Bacillati; Bacillota; Clostridia; Peptostreptococcales; Peptostreptococcaceae.
GGAACUGAAACAUCUAAGUACCUGAAGGAAGAGAAAGAAAUUCGAUUCCGUAAGUAGCGGCGAGCGAACGCGGAUUAGCCCAAACCAAUAAAGUUUUCUUUAUUGGGGUUGCGGACAUAUCAUAACGAAGAGGUAUCGUAAUUGAAGAGGUUUGGAAAGACCCACCACAGAAGGUAAUAGUCCUGUAUGUUAAACGAGAAGACUUUAGAUAUGAUCCAGAGUACCACGGGACACGUGAAACCCUGUGGGAAGCAGGAGGGACCACCCUCCAAGGCUAAAUACUACCUAGUGACCGAUAGCGUAUAGUACCGUGAGGGAAAGGUGAAAAGAACCCCGGGAGGGGAGUGAAAUAGAACCUGAAACCCUGCACUUACAAGCUGUGGAAGCACAUUUCUUGUGUGACCGCGUACUUUUUGUAGAACGGGCCAACGAGUUACGUUAAGUAGCAAGGUUAAGCACUUAAGGUGCGGAGCCGUAGCGAAAGCGAGUUUUAACUGAGCGUUCAGUUACUUGACGUAGACCCGAAACCGGGCGACCUACCCAUGAGCAGGAUGAAGCGAAAGUAAAAUUUCGUGGAGGUCCGAACCCACGAGCGUUGAAAAGCUCGGGGAUGACUUGUGGGUAGCGGUGAAAUUCCAAUCGAGCCCGGAGAUAGCUGGUUCUCCCCGAAAUAGCUUUAGGGCUAGCCUCAAGGUGAGAGAUACGGAGGUAGAGCACUG